Molecule: ribosomal RNA, 444 nt
Filed under: uncultured bacterium
Lineage: Bacteria
Description: partial 16S ribosomal RNA
Rfam family: Bacterial small subunit ribosomal RNA
Source: RNAcentral
CUACGGGCGGCACCAGUGGGGAAUAUUGCACAAUGGGCGCAAGCCUGAUGCAGCAACGCCGCGUGAGGGAUGAAGGCCUUCGGGUUGUAAACCUCUUUUAGCAGGGAAGAAGCGGAAGUGACGGUACCUGCAGAAAAAGCACCGGCUAACUACGUGCCAGCAGCCGCGGUAAUACGUAGGGUGCAAGCGUUGUCCGGAAUUAUUGGGCGUAAAGAGCUCGUAGGCGGUUUGUCACGUCUGCUGUGAAAAUCCAAGGCUCAACCUUGGAAUUGCAGUGGGUACGGGCAGGCUAGAGUGCGGUAGGGGAGAUGGGAAUUCCUGGUGUAGCGGUGGAAUGCGCAGAUAUCAGGAGGAACACCAAUGGCGAAGGCACAUCUCUGGGCCGUAACUGACGCUGAGGAGCGAAAGCGUGGGGAGCGAACAGGAUUAGAUACCCGCGUAGUC